AGCGGCCUGAUCCCAGCUCCCCCCCCCCUCCUCCGCCGCCGCCACCACCGCCGCCGCCUCCCUUCCCCGCUUCCCCGGCGUGAGGAGGAAAGUUGCGCCAGCGGCUGGGGGGCGCUGCCCAGGGUCGGCGUGCCUGAGGACGGUCAGUCUCGUAAGAGGAAAGUGGUCACCACUGAAACUCGUGUCGCCCCCGGAAUUACUUAGGUAACGCUUGGGGGGGGGUAAGAAUAAGGGGGGGAUGGGGAAGCCCCUCCGGAGUGAC
This 262-nucleotide long non-coding RNA is filed under the name Phascolarctos cinereus (koala). Its description in RNAcentral is "lncRNA (ENSPCIG00000015340.2)". Lineage: Eukaryota; Metazoa; Chordata; Mammalia; Diprotodontia; Phascolarctidae. The record is from RNAcentral.